This is a long non-coding RNA of Antechinus flavipes (yellow-footed antechinus), 4359 nucleotides long. RefSeq lists it as uncharacterized. The record is from RefSeq and is a predicted model, not a curated record. The transcript is spliced from 3 exons. NCBI's taxonomy places the organism in Eukaryota, Metazoa, Chordata, Mammalia, Dasyuromorphia, Dasyuridae.
AGCCUAUUGAAGUAGAAUUUCUAAGUGGGUAUCAGAUACUGCAAAACACCCACAGAAAACCUGGACCAAUUGUACUUCCUUCUAGCUUUACCAGCCGGAUGAGCUUUAUUAGCAAGGAGUCAUAAGGAUCAAAAGUUUCAAGAUACUUCAAAAUGCUGAUGACUCAGAGAUCUCUAAAGACUAUUAUAUUUCUAAUUAUCUUUGUCUGUGCUUGUUUGGAUAUAUCUCAUGAAGCUCAAAAGAAAAGAACAGUGUCUGAAUACCAGUUUAUGCACGACAAAGGGAAGACCGUGCAGUCCUUGAAAAGAUUGAUGUGGUUAUACAAUAUCAUGGGUGGGGUACAUUCUGCCAAUGGCAGAGCUCCUUCCUACUCAAACAGUCUGUGGAAACUACAGAAGCGCCUGAUCCAUCCCCAUCUAUACAGAAAUGCAAGUGGGGUGAACACUUACAAUCUGGCAAAACAAAUAUUGAUUAGCCUAAUGAUUGAUGCCCAUCCUAUGAAAUUAUAAAAUCUGUUAGGACAGAAAUGAUUUCUUAUCCAAGUUUUGUACCUAGAAUAGUGCUCUGUUUAUAGGGAUUGAUUAAAAAAUGCUGGUUGAAUUGAGUGCAUUUGAAUGAUGAUAGAGCAUGUGUUUCCCACUAAUUUUUUUUUAAGUUUUUUAUUUUCAAAACAUAUGCAUAGUUUACAACAUUCACCCUUGCAAAACCUUGUGUUCCAAAUUUUUUCUCCCUCCCUUCUCCCACUCCCCUCCCCUGCACAGCAAGUAAUCCAAUAUAUAUUAUACAUGUGCAAUUUUUCUAUACAUAUUUCCACAUUUAUCAUGCUGCACAAGAAAAAUCAGAUCAAAAAGGGGGAAAAAAUGAGAAAGAAAAAAAUUCAGGCAAAUAAAAACAAAGAAAGUGAAAAUGUUAUGUUGUGAUCCACACUCAGUUCCUACAAUCUUCAAGGGUGUAGAUGGCUCUCUUCAUCCCAAGACCAUUAGAACUGGUCUGAAUCACUUCCCUGUUGAAAAGAGCCACAUUCAUCAGAAUUUAUCAUUGUAUAAUUUUGUUGUUGCCACUCACUUCACUUAUAGCAUCAGCUCAUUUAAGUCUUUCCAGACCUUUCUUGAAAUCUCUUUCUGAUAGUUUCUUAUAGAACAAAAAUAUUCCAUAACAUUCAUAUACCAUAACUUAUUCAGCCACUCUCCAACUGAUGGGCAUCUACUCAGUUUCCAAUUCCUUGCCACUCCAAAAAGGGCUGCCGCAAACAUUUUUGCACAUUUGGAUCCUUUCCCCUUUUUAAUAAUCUCUUUGGGAUAUAGUCCCAGUAGAGACACUGCUGGAUGAAAGGAUAUGCACAGUUUGAUAGCCCUUUGGGCACAGUUGCAUUUUGUUCUCCAGAAUAGUAGGAUCAGUUCACAGCUCCACCAACAAUGUAUUAGUGUCUCAAUUUUCCUACAUCCUUCUCCAACAUUCAUCUUUAUCUUUUCCUUACAUCUUAGCCAAUCUGAGAGAUGUGUAGUGGUACUUCAGAAUGUCUUAAUUUGCAUUUCUCUGACCAAUAGUGAUUUAGAGCACCUUUUCAUAUAACUAGAAUUUAAUUUCUUCAUCUGAAAAUUGUCUGUUCAUAUUCUUUGGCAAUUUAUCAAUUGGAGAAUGGCUUAUAUUUUUAUAAAUUUGAAUCAAUUCUCUAUAUAUUUUAGAAAUGAGGCCUUUAUCAGAAAUCUUGGAUGUAAAUUUUUCCCCCAGUUUACUAUUUCCCUUCUAAUUUUGUCUGCAUUGGUUUUGUUUGCUUGCAUAAAAUCUUUUUAACUUGAUAUAAUAAAAAUUAGCCAUUUUGCAUUACAUAAUGUAUUCUAGCUCUUCUUUGGCCAUAAAUUCCUUCCUUCUCCAUAGAUCUGAAAGAUAGACUAUCUUCUAAUUUGCUUAUAGUAUCACUCAUGUCUAAAUCAUGAAUCCUUUUCUAUUUCGUGUUUCUCACGUUAAUAAAGAAAAUAAUACAGGGCAUCUAGAUAUGACAGAAGUAUCUCCAUCAGUUGAACCUGGUGGGAAUAUUAGGAAGAAAAAAACUGUUAUGCUCAGAAAAGUAAGCCUUCCCCUGUACCAAGAGUACUUAAUCUUUAUGUUUAUUUGUUUUUCAUGGACCUCUUUGGCAAUGUGGUGAUUCUCAGAAUAAAUGUUUUUAAAAUGCAUUCACUCGGUGUAUCAUCUGGUAUAACUUUUCAUCUGAACUUUUCAUCAUUCUUCUGUUACCCUACCCAGGCAGCCUUCCAUUGUAAAUAAAGCUAAAAAGAAAGAUUAGUUCAGUAAAAAAUCAACUGACACAUAAUGCUAUAAAAUACAUAGGAUUGAAAAGGAAGGCAAUUAUAUUGAAAUACAAUUAUCAAAAUAUUAAAAAUACAAGUUUGACAAGUUAUAGUAUAUGAUUGUGAUAAAAUAUAAUUACAUUAUAAGAAAUGAUGGAAGGAAAUGGUUUACAAAAAACCUGGAAAGAUUUAUAAGCUGAUAAGCUGAUGCAAAGUGAAAUGAACAGAUAUAGGAGAACUUUAUAAUACAGAAACAGUGUUGUUGUAACAAUAAUUAACUGUGAAAGACUUAGGUACUCUGAUCAAUACAAUGAUCCACCCCAAUUUCAAGGACCCAUGAUAAAAAAAAAAGUUAUCUACUUUCAGAGAGAGAACUGAUGAACUGAGAGAUGGUUAAAGCAUUGUUUUUUUUCUCACUUUUUUUUUUUGCAACAUGGCUACUAUGGAAAUAUGUUUGCAUGACUCCACAUGUAUAAGAAGUAUCAUAUUGCUUGCCUUCUCAAUGGAUUGGGGGAGGAACAGGAAGGAAGAAGAAAAUUUGGAACUCAAAAUAAAAAUGAAUGCCCCAAAAUGUAAGAUUAGCAUUAUAAAUACAUAAAUCGCAUGUUAAACAAAACAUCUGUCCUGUGCUGAAAUGAGCAAAACUUCUUAUAAAUUUGAUUUUCCUAGGUUACAUAGAUAUCUGUUAAAUAUAGUGUAAUAAUUAAAAAACACUGUCAUGUUCAAGGAGCUGCACCCUCUACCUCCCUAUUAAGUCUGUGGUCUGGCUUGGGUUGACUUCAAGGGGAGUCUGACCAUUUUUACCCAUUUUUGUUUAGUUAUAUCCCCACUGUGGUGUCCUGAGAAGAAAUUUCUUAAAAAUUAGAUUUUCCUCACAUCUAAGAUCUCGCCAAAUGAGAGUAAAAUGGUACUCUGUGCACAAUAUAAAUCAGUUAUGGGACAGGUAUUUAUUUCCUCCAUACAAAAGAAAUGUUAAACACAAAAGGUUCUUACAAGUACAUAUUGAUAGAAAUUUAAACAUGUAGCAAGUAAUUACUGUUAUAGUAGGAGACUGGGAUUGCAAUAUUAGAACAUGAAACAGUUUGUGGAAUUGCUGAAUAGGCAAUGUUACAUUUCACUCCAAUUCUGCCCUAAAAGACUCUCUCUAGGUUCAAGUCUUCUGACAAAUCAGUCCAAGCUUGAGCAAUUGCUCUUUUUGAUGUUACUUAGUUUGAUAUUAAAUUCCUGAAGCUAGUCUACUCUGAGUGAGGACCUGAAACUUCUGAACACGAUAAUCUCACAAAGUUGCUUCCAAGAUUGGACAUACUUAGCCUGGGAUUGCUGUUCAAUAAUCUAUAUUCAGAAAAAGAACCACAAAAGGGAAAAGUCAGCCCAGGGCUCCAAAACCAACCCUCAGCUUACAUGAUUGAAUGACAUCUGGCUGCUCAAAUGAGAAGAGUUACAAUGCUGCGGGAGCAGAGAGAAGGAUGGUUUCUCCCCUAAUUCCUCAUAGGAGCAUUACUUUCCAGGUCAAAAGAAGAAGAGAAACAAGGUUUAUAAGCACUCCCUUUUAAAAUUUAAGUCUUUACAUGAAUUGAUGCAAAGUGAAAUGAGCAGAACCAGAAGAACAUUGUACACAAUAACACAAAAUUGUAUGCUGCUGUACUGUGAAGAACUUAGUUUUUCUCAGCAAUACAAUGAUCCAAGACAAUUCUGAAGAACUUACAAUGAAAGAUUCUGUCUAUUUAAAGAGAAAGAACUGGUAGAGCUCGAAUACAGAUCAAAACAUAUUUUUUCUUUAUUCUUGUUGGGUUUGUUUUUUUUGUUUUUUGUUUUUGGUAGUGGUGGGAAGGAGGGUAGUGCUGACUGUUUUCUUUCACAGCAUGACUUACAUGGAACUGUUUUGCAUGACUAUACAAAUAUAACUUAUGUCAAAUUGCUUGUCCUCUCAAUUGGGGUGGGGGUGGAAAGGAAGGGAGAAAAUUUUGGAAUCCACAAUUUGAAAAAUAACACAUUAAAACUGUAUUUACAUGUAAUUGGGGGAAUAAUAAAUUAUUAAAUUAAAAGUCAAGUCCUUCUUAGAGGUCAAUAA